Non-coding RNA from Rattus rattus (black rat), 404 nucleotides. NCBI's taxonomy places the organism in Eukaryota, Metazoa, Chordata, Mammalia, Rodentia, Muridae. The record is from the annotation of a RefSeq genome assembly.
UGAGUGUUUUCACCAUGACCUGGACUCUACUAUUCCUUGCCUUCCUUCAUCACUUAACAGGGUCAUGUGCCCAGGUUGUGCUUACUCAGCCAAACUCAGUGUCUACGUCUCUAGGAAGCACAGUCAAACUGUCUUGCAAGCGCAGCACUGGUAACAUUGGAAGCUACUAUGUGCACUGGUACCAGCAGCAUGACGGAAGAUCUCCCACCACUAUGAUUUAUAAGUAUGAUAAGAGACCAGAUGGAGUUCCUGAUAGGUUCUCUGGGUCCACUGACAGCUCUUCCAACUCAGCCUUCCUGACAAUCAAUAAUGUGCAAACUGAAGAUGAAGCUAUCUACUACUGUCAUUCUUUUGAUAGUAGUAAUAAUCACAGUGAUGUGAACCGUAGAGGAAGUAUCAACUAA